Molecule: ribosomal RNA, 570 nt
Filed under: Triticum aestivum (bread wheat)
Lineage: Eukaryota; Viridiplantae; Streptophyta; Magnoliopsida; Poales; Poaceae
Description: partial small subunit ribosomal RNA
Source: RNAcentral
AUGGUUAUGUUACUAAAAAUUGUGUGCUGGUCAUAUAGUGUUCAUAUGGUGUGUAUGAAUUGUAGUUGUAUCAUAUGGUAUUCGGUAAUGGCUAUGUUUUUAUUGGUUGUUGGACAUGGUCUUAAAAUGAGGAUCUUGCGGGGCACAUACAAGCGUUCUUUAGACACUAUCAGUAGGCACUUCUCCUCCGUGUUAACAGCCAUACUUUCCCUAAGUGGGGAGUUUAUCAAGCUUCCCAAUCCAUCCGUCGAGCCUCCGGAUGAUUACAAAUGGAAGUGGUUUGGUGAUGCAUUGGGAGCACUAGAUGGGUGUCAUGUUGCUGUUUCUGUCGUUCUGGCUGACCAAGGAAGAUAUAGGAACAGAAAGCAAGCGAUCAGCACUAACAUGCUAGGUGUGGUUGACUGGAGCAUGAAAUUUCUUUAUGUUCUACCUUGCUGGGAGGGAUCUUCAUCUGACUCCAGAGUGUUGCGUGAUGCAAUGAGAGACAACCGUCAAGAUGCAUUUGUUGUACCUCAGGGUAUGAUUGUAUCUCUUGACAUUUACUUUCUUCUCCAUGUAAUUGUUAGCUAA